UAAGUCGAUGAUGAUGAUUUAUCCGCCUUGUUCGAGUUUGAACUAUGAGAAUACUCUCAUGCACUACCAUCUGAGGCGAG
Molecule: small nucleolar RNA, 80 nt
Filed under: Gouania willdenowi (blunt-snouted clingfish)
Lineage: Eukaryota; Metazoa; Chordata; Actinopteri; Blenniiformes; Gobiesocidae
Source: RNAcentral